This 653-nucleotide ribosomal RNA is filed under the name Tulasnella epiphytica. RNAcentral's name for it is "eukaryotic LSU rRNA". The stretch from base 217 to 380 matches the Rfam family "5.8S ribosomal RNA". Lineage: Eukaryota; Fungi; Basidiomycota; Agaricomycetes; Cantharellales; Tulasnellaceae. The record is from RNAcentral.
AAGUCGUAACAAGGUUUCGUAGGUGAACCUGCGGAAGGAUCAUAGUAAUCGUCUCUGACGUUCUGCUUUCCGUCGUCCUCGGGACGUGAAGCCGCUCUGGUCGAGGAUAAACGACCCCUCUGACCGAGGCUAACCGUCGCUUGUUACCUCUUUGCCGAGGCACACGUUAAAGAUCGUUCCGCAUUGUGAGUCUGACACCAGUUGUAACACUUUUACAACCGGUAGCGCUGGAUCCCUUGGCACGUCAUUCGAUGAAGACCGUUGCAAAUUGCGAUAAAGUGAUGUGAUGCGCAAGUCCACCACUUAUACGUGAAUCAUCGAGUUGUUGAACGCACUGCACCGCGCCCUAAUCCGGCUGCGGUAUGCCCCUUUGAGCGUCAUUGUAUCCCUUCGGGAGUCUUUUCUGCUUGCAAGGACCCGAGUUCGGAGUCCUCGGUCCCCCCCGGAUCGUGUUCUCUCAGAUGCGUCGCGCCGAUCGCCUGAUGGGUACUCUAAUGCCUGAGCGUGGAGUCCCUCGGGAGCAGAGACGCGCUCGACCGAGUGGUGAGCCCGCGUCGCCAAGUCCGCCCUUUGGGGACCGGUACUACCAACGCAUGACCUCAUUGGGGUAGGACAACCCGCUAGACUUAAGCAUAUCAAUAAGCGGAAGGAAA